Corynebacterium genitalium ATCC 33030 is the source of this 77-nucleotide regulatory RNA element. It matches the Rfam family "L31-Corynebacteriaceae ribosomal protein leader". The record is from Rfam. Lineage: Bacteria; Bacillati; Actinomycetota; Actinomycetes; Mycobacteriales; Corynebacteriaceae.
ACUCAGGCACGAUCCGUUUCUGGCGCAGAUAGCAGCGCAGAGAAGUGGAACCGACCUGAAGUAUCAAUCCUGAGGGA